AGGGUUUGAUCAUGGCUCAGAACGAACGCUGGCGGCGUGGAUAAGACAUGCAAGUCGGACGAGAACUUUCGGUGUAGCAAUACACUGGAAGUUCUAGUGGCGAACGGGUGCGUAACACGUGGACAAUCUACCUUAAAGUGGGGGACAGCUCGGCGAAAGCCGGAUUAAUACCGCAUGUGAUCAGCCAAGACAUCUUGGCGAAAUUAAAGUCGGGGCAACCUGACGCUUUUUGAGGAGUCCGCGGCCUAUCAGCUUGUUGGUGAGGUAACGGCUCACCAAGGCUUUGACGGGUAGCUGGUCUGAGAGGACGACCAGCCACACUGGAACUGAGACACGGUCCAGACACCUACGGGUGGCAGCAGUCGAGAAUUUUUCUCAAUGGGGGAAACCCUGAAGGAGCGACGCCGCGUGGAGGAUGAAGGUCUUCGGGUUGUAAACUCCUGUCAUUUGGGAACAAUGCUUACGUAUUAACUGUACGUGAGUUGAUAGUACCAGAAGAGGAAGAGACGGCUAACUCUGUGCCAGCAGCCGCGGUAAUACAGAGGUCUCAAGCGUUGUUCGGAUUCAUUGGGCGUAAAGGGUGCGUAGGCGGCGCGGUAAGUCGGGUGUGAAAUUUCGGAGCUUAACUCCGAAACUGCAUUCGAUACUGCCGUGCUUGAGGACUGGAGAGGAGACUGGAAUUUACGGUGUAGCAGUGAAAUGCGUAGAGAUCGUAAGGAAGACCAGUGGCGAAGGCGGGUCUCUGGACAGUUCCUGACGCUGAGGCACGAAGGCCAGGGGAGCAAACGGGAUUAGAUACCCUAGUAGUCC
Molecule: ribosomal RNA, 810 nt
Filed under: uncultured bacterium
Lineage: Bacteria
Description: bacterial SSU rRNA
Rfam family: Bacterial small subunit ribosomal RNA
Source: RNAcentral